This 253-nucleotide ribosomal RNA is filed under the name uncultured bacterium. RNAcentral describes it as "partial 16S ribosomal RNA". It matches the Rfam family "Bacterial small subunit ribosomal RNA", at positions 524 to 776 of the family's 1533-position model. The record is from RNAcentral.
UACGUAGGGUGCGAGCGUUAAUCGGAAUUACUGGGCGUAAAGUGUGCGCAGGCGGCGCGUUAAGACAGGUGUGAAAGCCCCGAGCUUAACUUGGGAAUUGCGCUUGUGACUGGCGUGCUGGAGUGUGGCAGAGGGAGGUGGAAUUCCACGUGUAGCAGUGAAAUGCGUAGAGAUGCGGAGGAACACCGAUGGCGAAGGCAAUCCCCUGGGCCUGCACUGACGCUCAUGCACGAAAGCGUGGGGAGCAAACAGG